AGUGAACGCUGGCGGCAGGCCUAACACAUGCAAGUCGAGCGGCAGCGCGUCCGACCACCCUCGGGUGGUCGGAUGGCGGCGAGCGGCGGACGGGUGAGGAAUGCAUCGGAAUCUGCCUCGUUGUGGGGGAUAACGUAGGGAAACUUACGCUAAUACCGCAUACGACCUACGGGUGAAAGUGGGGGACCUUCGGGCCUCACGCGAUGAGAUGAGCCGAUGCCGGAUUAGCUAGUUGGCGGGGUAAAGGCCCACCAAGGCGACGAUCCGUAGCUGGUCUGAGAGGAUGAUCAGCCACACUGGAACUGAGACACGGUCCAGACUCCUACGGGAGGCAGCAGUGGGGAAUAUUGGACAAUGGGGGGAACCCGUGAUCCAGCCAUGCCGCGUGAGGGAAGAAGGUCCUCUGGAUUGUAAACCUCUUUUGGCAGGAAACAAACCUGCGCUAUACGCGCAGCUGAGGGUACCUGCAGAAUAAGCACCGGCUAACUCCGUG
RNAcentral lists this ribosomal RNA (493 nucleotides) under uncultured bacterium. RNAcentral's name for it is "bacterial SSU rRNA". It matches the Rfam family "Bacterial small subunit ribosomal RNA", at positions 29 to 507 of the family's 1533-position model. The record is from RNAcentral.